AGUGAACGCUGGCGGUAGGCCUAACACAUGCAAGUCGAACGGCAGCACAGUAAGAGCUUGCUCUUACGGGUGGCGAGUGGCGGACGGGUGAGGAAUACAUCGGAGUCUACUUUUUCGUGGGGGAUAACGUAGGGAAACUUACGCUAAUACCGCAUACGACCUACGGGCGAAAGCAGGGGAUCUUCGGACCUUGCGCGAUUGAAUGAGCCGAUGUCGGAUUAGCUAGUUGGCGGGGUAAAGGCCCACCAAGGCGACGAUCCGUAGCUGGUCUGAGAGGAUGAUCAGCCACACUGGAACUGAGACACGGUCCAGACUCCUACGGGAGGCAGCAGUGGGGAAUAUUGGACAAUGGGCGCAAGCCUGAUCCAGCCAUACCGCGUGGGUGAAGAAGGCCUUCGGGUUGUAAAGCCCUUUUGUUGGGAAAGAAAAGCAGCAGGUUAAUACCCCGCUGUUCUGACGGUACCCAAAGAAUAAGCACCGGCUAACUUCGUG
This 492-nucleotide ribosomal RNA is filed under the name uncultured bacterium. RNAcentral's name for it is "partial 16S ribosomal RNA". It matches the Rfam family "Bacterial small subunit ribosomal RNA", at positions 29 to 507 of the family's 1533-position model. The record is from RNAcentral.